RNAcentral lists this ribosomal RNA (393 nucleotides) under uncultured bacterium. Its description in RNAcentral is "partial 16S ribosomal RNA". It matches the Rfam family "Bacterial small subunit ribosomal RNA", at positions 523 to 918 of the family's 1533-position model. The record is from RNAcentral.
AUACGGAGGAUCCGAGCGUUAUCCGGAUUUAUUGGGUUUAAAGGGAGCGUAGGCGGACUAUUAAGUCAGCUGUGAAAGUUUGCGGCUCAACCGUAAAAUUGCAGUUGAUACUGGUCGUCUUGAGUGCAGUAGAGGUAGGCGGAAUUCGUGGUGUAGCGGUGAAAUGCUUAGAUAUCACGAAGAACUCCGAUUGCGAAGGCAGCUUACUGGACUGUAACUGACGCUGAUGCUCGAAAGUGUGGGUAUCAAACAGGAUUAGAUACCCUGGUAGUCCACACAGUAAACGAUGAAUACUCGCUGUUUGCGAUAUACAGUAAGCGGCCAAGCGAAAGCGUUAAGUAUUCCACCUGGGGAGUACGCCGGCAACGGUGAAACUCAAAUGAAUUGGCGGGG